UACGGAGGGGGCUAGCGUUGUUCGGAAUUACUGGGCGUAAAGCGCACGUAGGCGGCUUUGUAAGUCAGGGGUGAAAUCCCGGAGCUCAACUCCGGAACUGCCUUUGAUACUGGCGACCUUGAGGCUGGAAGAGGUUAGUGGAAUUCCCAGUGUAGAGGUGAAAUUCGUAGAUAUUGGGAAGAACACCAGUGGCGAAGGCGGCUAACUGGUCCAGAUCUGACGCUGAGGUGCGAAAGCGUGGGGAGCAAACAGG
This 253-nucleotide ribosomal RNA is filed under the name uncultured bacterium. RNAcentral's name for it is "partial 16S ribosomal RNA". It matches the Rfam family "Bacterial small subunit ribosomal RNA", at positions 524 to 776 of the family's 1533-position model. The record is from RNAcentral.